Molecule: ribosomal RNA, 253 nt
Filed under: uncultured bacterium
Lineage: Bacteria
Description: partial 16S ribosomal RNA
Rfam family: Bacterial small subunit ribosomal RNA
Source: RNAcentral
UACAGAGGUCUCAAGCGUUGUUCGGAUUCAUUGGGCGUAAAGGGUGUGUAGGUGGCGCCGUAAGUCGGGUGUGAAAUUUCGGAGCUUAACUCCGAAACUGCAUUCGAUACUGCUGUGCUUGAGGACUGGAGAGGAGACUGGAAUUUACGGUGUAGCAGUGAAAUGCGUAGAGAUCGUAAGGAAGACCAGUGGCGAAGGCGGGUCUCUGGACAGUUCCUGACACUGAGGCACGAAGGCCAGGGGAGCAAACGGG